UACGUAGGUGACAAGCGUUGUCCGGAUUUACUGGGCGUAAAGAGCGCGCAGGCGGUCGUUCAAGUCGAGUGUGAAAGCCCCCGGCUCAACUGGGGAGGGUCAUUCGAUACUGAUCGACUCGAAGGCAGGAGAGGGUAGUGGAAUUCCCGGUGUAGUGGUGAAAUGCGUAGAUAUCGGGAAGAACACCCGUGGCGAAGGCGGUUCUCUGGGACGGUACUGACGCUGAGACGCGAAAGCGUGGGGAGCGAACAGG
This 253-nucleotide ribosomal RNA is filed under the name uncultured bacterium. Its description in RNAcentral is "partial 16S ribosomal RNA". It matches the Rfam family "Bacterial small subunit ribosomal RNA", at positions 524 to 776 of the family's 1533-position model. The record is from RNAcentral.